UACGGAGGGGGCGAGCGUUAUUCGGAAUUAUUGGGCGUAAAGGGCGCGUAGGCGGCCCGGUAAGUCAAAGGUGAAAUCCCUCGGCUCAACUGAGGAACUGCCUUUGAAACUGUCGGGCUUGAGGCCGGGAGGGGGUGACGGAAUUCCCAGUGUAGCGGUGAAAUGCGUAGAUAUUGGGAGGAGCACCAGUGGCGAAGGCGGCCACCUGGACCGGUUCUGACGCUGAUGCGCGAAAGCGUGGGGAGCAAACAGG
RNAcentral lists this ribosomal RNA (253 nucleotides) under uncultured bacterium. RNAcentral's name for it is "partial 16S ribosomal RNA". It matches the Rfam family "Bacterial small subunit ribosomal RNA", at positions 524 to 776 of the family's 1533-position model. The record is from RNAcentral.